RNAcentral lists this ribosomal RNA (337 nucleotides) under uncultured bacterium. RNAcentral's name for it is "bacterial SSU rRNA". It matches the Rfam family "Bacterial small subunit ribosomal RNA", at positions 28 to 367 of the family's 1533-position model. The record is from RNAcentral.
GACGAACGCUGGCGGCGUGCUUAACACAUGCAAGUCGAGCGGUAAGGCCCUUCGGGGUACACGAGCGGCGAACGGGUGAGUAACACGUGGGUGACCUGCCCUUAGCUCUGGGAUAAGCCUGGGAAACUGGGUCUAAUACCGGAUAUGACCUCAUGACGCAUGUUGUGGGGUGGAAAGCCUUGUGCGGCCUAGGGAUGGGCCCGCGGCCUAUCAGCUUGUUGGUGGGGUGAAUGGCCACCAAGGCGACGACGGGUAGCCGGCCUGAGAGGGCGACCGGCCACACUGGGACUGAGACACGGCCCAGACUCCUACGGGAGGCAGCAGUGGGGAAUCUUGC